GCCUCGGUAGCGUAGUAGGCAACGCGUCAGUCUCAUAAUCUGAAGGCUGAGUUCGACCCUCACCCGGGGCC
This is a non-coding RNA of Trichonephila inaurata madagascariensis, 71 nucleotides long. Lineage: Eukaryota; Metazoa; Arthropoda; Arachnida; Araneae; Nephilidae. The record is from the annotation of a GenBank genome assembly.